This 531-nucleotide RNase P RNA is filed under the name Acidobacteriota bacterium. RNAcentral describes it as "RNase P RNA component class A". It matches the Rfam family "Bacterial RNase P class A". From Rfam's summary of the family: Ribonuclease P (RNase P) is a ubiquitous endoribonuclease, found in archaea, bacteria and eukarya as well as chloroplasts and mitochondria. Its best characterised activity is the generation of mature 5'-ends of tRNAs by cleaving the 5'-leader elements of precursor-tRNAs. The record is from RNAcentral. Lineage: Bacteria; Pseudomonadati; Acidobacteriota.
GUUGUUGCAGACGAUCGUCGUUCGACGGAGCUCGAAAGGGUGACGUCGGAGGGAGGAAAGUCCGAACUCCGCAGGGCAGUGCGCCGGGUAACGCCCGGUCGGGGUAACCCGAAGGAAAGUGGCACAGAAAAUAUACCGCCUCUCGACUCGCCCCUUCGGGGCUCGCUCGAGGCAGGCCGAUGAAGGGUGAUCGCGACGGAACACUUGACACGGCCUGCCCUGAGCGAGCCUCGAAGAGGCGAGUCGAAGGGUAAGGGUGAAAAGGUGCGGUAAGAGCGCACCGCGCCGGUGGCGACAUCGGUGGCAGGCAAAACCCCGCACGGAGCAAGGCCAAAUAGGGGAGUCAGAAUCUGCCGGCGCCGCAAGGAUGCCGGUGGAGGAAUCGAACGGCCCGUUCGACGAACUUCCGGGUAGGCUGCUUGAUCCCGCCAGUAAUGGCGGGGCUAGAGGAAUGAUCGUCACGCCGAAGCUCGCGGCCGCAAGGCCGUAAGCGAAGGCGGACAGGAUUCGGCUUACGCGGCAACAUCAAUC